This is a long non-coding RNA of Trichomycterus rosablanca, 283 nucleotides long. RefSeq lists it as uncharacterized. The record is from RefSeq and is a predicted model, not a curated record. NCBI's taxonomy places the organism in Eukaryota, Metazoa, Chordata, Actinopteri, Siluriformes, Trichomycteridae. The transcript has 3 exons.
UCUUUAUUACGCUCAGCUUUUAUUCACAGUGAAUCAUUAUGAGGAAGAGGAAGGGUGGCAGUGAUGAUACUUUUCUCAGCAGCUUCAGAAAAAAAAGGAAAAGGACGAGAGAAAGUGAGAGAGUACAGGGAUGCAGACAGGAAAGUGAGCAGGUGACGGAGUUUAUCAGCUGCCUGAUCUUGCAGGAGACCCUCAGAUCCCUUAGCACCCCGCCGAGUUCUUCUGGUGGCCAUGUUGACAAAAAUCUCACCCCUCUGAUUCGUCCUGCAUUUAAACAAACCUA